AAAAUCCGUCGACUUUAGAAAUCUCUAUCCCCA
Molecule: transfer RNA, 33 nt
Filed under: Linum suffruticosum
Lineage: Eukaryota; Viridiplantae; Streptophyta; Magnoliopsida; Malpighiales; Linaceae
Description: partial tRNA-Leu
Source: RNAcentral